Molecule: long non-coding RNA, 289 nt
Filed under: Mytilus galloprovincialis (Mediterranean mussel)
Lineage: Eukaryota; Metazoa; Mollusca; Bivalvia; Mytilida; Mytilidae
Source: RNAcentral
ACAAUUUGGUGAAAACAGUUUGCUAAAAUCUUUUACGGUUUUAGAGAUAUAGCGAUAACAAGAAAAGGAGGAGCAGGGAGAUAACUCCUAUAAGAAUAAGUGGUCGGUCACACAGGGUGAGUUUUGAAACCCCCAUUACUGUACAACAUCAUUGGCCAAAAAUCCAUUCGAUAUGUUGUAAAACAAAAAAGCAUCUCAGACGGCAGAAGAAAAAAAAAAAAAAAAUAAAUAAAUAAUCAGAAGAAAAACAAAAGGUCUUUCCACGAAAAGUGGAAAGACCUAAUGAAAC